RNAcentral lists this ribosomal RNA (256 nucleotides) under uncultured bacterium. Its description in RNAcentral is "partial 16S ribosomal RNA". It matches the Rfam family "Bacterial small subunit ribosomal RNA", at positions 524 to 776 of the family's 1533-position model. The record is from RNAcentral.
UACGAAGGGUGCAAGCGUUAAUCGGAAUUACUGGGCGUAAAGGGUGCGUAGGCGGUUGUUUAAGUCUGUCGUGAAAUCCCCGGGCUCAACCUGGGAAUGGCGAUGGAUACUGGACAGCUAGAGUGUGUCAGAGGAUGGUGGAAUUCCCGGUGUAGCGGUGAAAAUGCGUAGAGAUCGGGAGGAACAUCAGUGGCGAAGGCGGCCAUCUGGGACAACACUGACGCUGAAGCACGAAAAGCGUGGGGGAGCAAACAGG